GAUGAACGCUGGCGGCGUGCCUAAUACAUGCAAGUCGAGCGAACGGACGAGAAGCUUGCUUCUCUGAUGUUAGCGGCGGACGGGUGAGUAACACGUGGAUAACCUACCUAUAAGACUGGGAUAACUUCGGGAAACCGGAGCUAAUACCGGAUAAUAUUUUGAACCGCAUGGUUCAAAAGUGAAAGACGGUCUUUCUGUCACUUAUAGAUGGAUCCGCGCUGCAUUAGCUAGUUGGUAAGGUAACGGCUUACCAAGGCAACGAUGCAUAGCCGACCUGAGAGGGUGAUCGGCCACACUGGAACUGAGACACGGUCCAGACUCCGACGGGAGGCAGCAGUAGGGAAUCUUCCGCAAUGGGGGAAAGCCUGACGGAGCAACGCCGCGUGAGUGAUGAAGGUCUUCGGAUCGUAAAACUCUGUUAUUAGGGAAGAACAUAUGUGUAAGUAACUGUGCACAUCUUGACGGUACCUAAUCAGAAAGCCACGGCUAACUACGUG
This 497-nucleotide ribosomal RNA is filed under the name uncultured bacterium. Its description in RNAcentral is "partial 16S ribosomal RNA". It matches the Rfam family "Bacterial small subunit ribosomal RNA", at positions 28 to 507 of the family's 1533-position model. The record is from RNAcentral.